CAUUAAGAAGCUAAAACAGGAAUCAGCAUUAGCCUUUUAAGCUAAAGAUUGGUGACUACCAACCACCCUUAAUGA
RNAcentral lists this transfer RNA (75 nucleotides) under Xenoconger fryeri (Fryer's false moray). Its description in RNAcentral is "tRNA-Lys". It matches the Rfam family "tRNA". Rfam says of the family: Transfer RNA (tRNA) molecules are approximately 80 nucleotides in length. Their secondary structure includes four short double-helical elements and three loops (D, anti-codon, and T loops). Further hydrogen bonds mediate the characteristic L-shaped molecular structure. tRNAs have two regions of fundamental functional importance: the anti-codon, which is responsible for specific mRNA codon recognition, and the 3' end, to which the tRNAs corresponding amino acid is attached (by aminoacyl-tRNA synthetases). tRNAs cope with the degeneracy of the genetic code in two manners: having more than one tRNA (with a specific anti-codon) for a particular amino acid; and 'wobble' base-pairing, i.e. permitting non-standard base-pairing at the 3rd anti-codon position. Lineage: Eukaryota; Metazoa; Chordata; Actinopteri; Anguilliformes; Chlopsidae. The record is from RNAcentral.